GACGAACGCUGGCGGCGUGCUUAACACAUGCAAGUCGAACGGAAAGGCCCUGCUUUUGUGGGGUGCUCGAGUGGCGAACGGGUGAGUAACACGUGAGUAACCUGCCCUUGACUUUGGUAUAACUUCAGGAAACUGGGGCUAAUACCGGAUAGGAGCUCCUGCUGCAUGGUGGGGGUUGGAAAGUUUCGGCGGUUGGGGAUGGACGCGCGGCUUAUCAGCUUGUUGGUGGGGUAGUGGCUUACCAAGGAUUUGACGGGUAGCCGGCCUGAGAGGGUGACGGGCCACAUUGGCACUGAGGUACGGCCCAGACGCCUAAGGGAGGCAGCAGUGGGGAAUAGUGCAAAAUGGGCGGAAGCGUGAUGCAGCAACGCCGGGUGCGGGAGGACGGCUUUCGGGUUGGAAACCGCUUUCGCCUGUGACGAAGCGUGAGUGACGGUAAUGGGGAAAGAAAAACCGGCUAACUACGU
RNAcentral lists this ribosomal RNA (467 nucleotides) under uncultured bacterium. Its description in RNAcentral is "partial 16S ribosomal RNA". It matches the Rfam family "Bacterial small subunit ribosomal RNA", at positions 28 to 506 of the family's 1533-position model. The record is from RNAcentral.